RNAcentral lists this ribosomal RNA (413 nucleotides) under uncultured Lactobacillus sp. Its description in RNAcentral is "bacterial SSU rRNA". It matches the Rfam family "Bacterial small subunit ribosomal RNA", at positions 132 to 524 of the family's 1533-position model. Lineage: Bacteria; Bacillati; Bacillota; Bacilli; Lactobacillales; Lactobacillaceae. The record is from RNAcentral.
GGAGGAUCGGGGAUAACACCCUGGGAACAGAUGCUAAUACCGGGAUAACAACAGAUGAUGCCCUAUCAACUGUUUAAAAGAUGGGUUCUGCUAUCACUCUCGGGAUGGGACCCUGCGGUGCAUUAGCUAGUUGGUAGGGUAACGGCCUACCAAGGCGAUGAUGCAUAGCCGAGUUGAGAGACUGAUCGGCCACAUUGGGACUGAGACACGGCCCAAACUCCUACGGGAGGCAGCAGUAGGGAAUCUUCCACGAUGGACGCAAGUCUGAUGGAGCAACGCCGCGUGAGUGAAGAAGGGUUUCGGCUCGUAAAGCUCUGUUGUUGGUGAAGAAGGACAGGGGUAGUAACUAACCUUUGUUUGACGGUAAUCAAUUAGAAAGUCACGGCUAACUACGUGCCAGCAGCCGCGGUAAU